This is a long non-coding RNA of Nothoprocta perdicaria, 884 nucleotides long. RefSeq lists it as uncharacterized. Lineage: Eukaryota; Metazoa; Chordata; Aves; Tinamiformes; Tinamidae. The record is from RefSeq and is a predicted model, not a curated record. The transcript is spliced from 4 exons.
GGGUCUUCUGACUAGAGCUGCCUGAAAUGCUCUUGGGUGCCUCUGGUAGUCCCUUCAGGAAUCCCCAAGGAUGCUGAGGGUGCAAGUGUACAAGGACAGAGCAAUCUGUGCUUGGGGAAAUGCUGGUGUGCUUCAGAAAUGGGAAGAUGCUCGACUUUGAAGAGAGGGAGUUUCCUACAUCCUAGCCGACUGCUCCUCGUAUGCCUUCAAGGGAACAGAAUUCUGAAGCUUGCAACACAAACUGGAAAGACAGUUGCAGUUUUAGACAAUGAACAACAGUGGAGAGGACUGUAUUCACAGAACGAGUCAGGAGGGGCAGUUUUGCCACCAGAGAAGAAUUCCUCUUCACCAGCUGUGAUAUCAUUUAACAAUGACAGCUCUCCAGUUUGCACCAAGAAAUAGUGCUAAAAGAAAAAUGAGGGGCAAACAUUUUUGGAUGAAGUUACUGGAAGUUCCUCCGCAGUAUGCUGCUCCUGCUUCCGCAGAUAUCAAUAUCUAGCUUCAAAAAGAGGAUUUAUAUGCAGGCCGAGGGACUGACCUCCAGUGGAGGUAUGAAAUGGAAAGUUUGAGGUUCUGUCCCAGGAACCAUGCAGUUGAGAUCCCAUCAUUACCAUGUAGACUUUCUCAAGGAGUGGGGGCACACAGAUCUCCUCAGGGAAUGUCUUGACCAAAAAGUGGCUCUCUCUUUGCAUUCCUUCUGGCCCCAGGAAUGCUGCAUUCCUCACCAUGCAGCAGCCCAGUUUCAGGGGUGGUGAUGUGUGGGUGGGAGUGCUUGUCCCUUGAGAUAGCAAACUGCCUGGGACAGGCUCAGGGCAGGACUGAUAUGGGAGUUUUCUGCUGAAAUCUAGGUCCUUUUCCUCUGAGGCACUAAUGCAAUGAACACU